RNAcentral lists this ribosomal RNA (607 nucleotides) under Escherichia coli. RNAcentral's name for it is "partial 23S ribosomal RNA". It matches the Rfam family "Bacterial large subunit ribosomal RNA", at positions 2180 to 2786 of the family's 2925-position model. Lineage: Bacteria; Pseudomonadati; Pseudomonadota; Gammaproteobacteria; Enterobacterales; Enterobacteriaceae. The record is from RNAcentral.
AUGGAGCCGACCUUGAAAUACCACCCUUUAAUGUUUGAUGUUCUAACGUUGACCCGUAAUCCGGGUUGCGGACAGUGUCUGGUGGGUAGUUUGACUGGGGCGGUCUCCUCCUAAAGAGUAACGGAGGAGCACGAAGGUUGGCUAAUCCUGGUCGGACAUCAGGAGGUUAGUGCAAUGGCAUAAGCCAGCUUGACUGCGAGCGUGACGGCGCGAGCAGGUGCGAAAGCAGGUCAUAGUGAUCCGGUGGUUCUGAAUGGAAGGGCCAUCGCUCAACGGAUAAAAGGUACUCCGGGGAUAACAGGCUGAUACCGCCCAAGAGUUCAUAUCGACGGCGGUGUUUGGCACCUCGAUGUCGGCUCAUCACAUCCUGGGGCUGAAGUAGGUCCCAAGGGUAUGGCUGUUCGCCAUUUAAAGUGGUACGCGAGCUGGGUUUAGAACGUCGUGAGACAGUUCGGUCCCUAUCUGCCGUGGGCGCUGGAGAACUGAGGGGGGCUGCUCCUAGUACGAGAGGACCGGAGUGGACGCAUCACUGGUGUUCGGGUUGUCAUGCCAAUGGCACUGCCCGGUAGCUAAAUGCGGAAGAGAUAAGUGCUGAAAGCAUCUAAGC